UACGUAGGGUGCAAGCGUUGUCCGGAAUUAUUGGGCGUAAGGAGCUCGUAGGCGGUUUGUCACGUCGGAUGUGAAACCCUGAGGCUCAACCUCAGGCCUGCAUUCGAUACGGGCAGACUAGAAUUCGGCAGGGGAGACUGGAAUUCCUGGUGUAGCGGUGAAAUGCGCAGAUAUCAGGAGGAACACCGGUGGCGAAGGCGGGUCUCUGGGCCGAUAUUGACGCUGAGGAGCGAAAGCGUGGGGAGCAAACAGG
RNAcentral lists this ribosomal RNA (253 nucleotides) under uncultured bacterium. RNAcentral describes it as "partial 16S ribosomal RNA". It matches the Rfam family "Bacterial small subunit ribosomal RNA", at positions 524 to 776 of the family's 1533-position model. The record is from RNAcentral.